RNAcentral lists this ribosomal RNA (440 nucleotides) under uncultured bacterium. RNAcentral describes it as "bacterial SSU rRNA". It matches the Rfam family "Bacterial small subunit ribosomal RNA", at positions 29 to 514 of the family's 1533-position model. The record is from RNAcentral.
AACGAACGCUGGCGGCAGGCCUAACACAUGCAAGUCGAACGCUGUAGCAAUACAGAGUGGCAGACGGGUGAGUAACGCGUGGGAACAUACCCUUCGGUUCGGAAUAACUCAGGGAAACUUGAGCUAAUACCGGAUACGUGCGAGAGCAGAAAGAUUCAUCGCCGAAGGAUUGGCCCGCGUUCGAUUAGCUUGUUGGUGAGGUAAUGGCUCACCAAGGCGACGANCGAUAGCUGGUCUGAGAGGAUGAUCAGCCACAUUGGGACUGAGACACGGCCCAAACUCCUACGGGAGGCAGCAGUGGGGAAUAUUGGACAAUGGGCGAAGGCCUGAUCCAGCCAUGCCGCGUGAGUGAUGAAGGCCCUAGGGUUGUAAAGCUCUUUCGUCAGGGACGAUAAUGACGGUACCUGAAGAAGAAGCCCCGGCUAACUUCGUGCCAGCCG